AAUGAACGCUGGCGGCAUGCCUAACACAUGCAAGUCGAACGAGAACUCCGGGUCUAGUGGCGCACGGGUGCGUCACGCGUGGGAACCUUCCCUUAGGUUCGGCAUAACUCCCCGAAAGGGGUGCUAAUACCGGAUAAUGUCUUCGGACCAAAGAUUUAUCGCCUUUGGAUGGGCCCGCGUUGGAUUAGCUAGUUGGUAGGGUAAAAGCCUACCAAGGCGACGAUCCAUAGCUGGUCUGAGAGGAUGAUCAGCCACACUGGGACUGAGACACGGCCCAGACUCCUACGGGAGGCAGCAGUGGGGAAUAGUGGACAGUGGGCGAAAGCCUGAUCCAGCAAUGCCGCGUGAGUGAUGAAGGCCGUAGGGUUGUAAAGCUCUUUUACCCGGGAUGGUAAUGACAGUACCGGGAGAAUAAGCUCCGGCUAACUCCGUG
RNAcentral lists this ribosomal RNA (433 nucleotides) under uncultured bacterium. RNAcentral's name for it is "partial 16S ribosomal RNA". It matches the Rfam family "Bacterial small subunit ribosomal RNA", at positions 29 to 507 of the family's 1533-position model. The record is from RNAcentral.